CGCUGACCUUUAUGGUUACCCGAGGGGUUGAUACAAGCUAUGCCAAUGGAAUACUGACAGCGUCUUUUAUUUGCUUAACCCUGACACAGGGUAUCUAAAAUAUCCACCCCCUCUAAAUCCAGGAUAAGGGGAAAGUUGACCAAACUUAAUCUUUCCCAUACAGAAAAAAAAUAAUUACAUAUACCCAUGUUAAAAAAUAAACAUAAAAAUCCAGCUCUAAACAGCUAUCUUAAUUUUAGAGUACCAAACUCCCAACAAUUUAC
Molecule: long non-coding RNA, 263 nt
Filed under: Mytilus galloprovincialis (Mediterranean mussel)
Lineage: Eukaryota; Metazoa; Mollusca; Bivalvia; Mytilida; Mytilidae
Source: RNAcentral